UGAAUAUUUAAAGAGAACAACCCUCCACAUCAAAGUCCACAUGUAUCUGACUAUUUCCAGCUUAGUUAGCAUGACAUCAGUUGUGGAUCUAAUAUGGUAUUCAAUUAAUACAGAAUGAGAGGAUGGGAACAGAAUGAACACCAGAUAGUGUGGUUUAUGGAAAUAGGCUCUUGCCAAGCAAGACUUGUUUAAUUACGAUGAGAUUAAAAAUUUAGAUGGUAAAAGAAGUGAUGAGCUUGGUAUACCUGGUCCGGUAGACUUCUGUAAGGCGUUUAACCUAGUUUACAUGACAUUCUGUAAAAGAAUUAGUGAUACUGUAUCAAGGAAGUUCACAUUUAUUAGAUUAAAAACUGACUGACACAGUUGAAGAUGUAGCUACUGCGGAAUAGCCGUCAGACUUUUUUCUUUUUUUUUAUUCCCCCCCCUAACUGGGGUCUGCAUGGAUUGGGAGUAGGCAGAAGUUAUUCAAUAUUUUUAUCUAGAAGCAGUGCAAACUCAUUGCAGAUAAAGCACAGAGAUGACAGAGGGCUGGUGAAGUGGUAAAUAAUGAGGAAGCUUGGGAACAAUCUAGGUAGCUUGACAAGUCAGCCCACUCAAAAUGAGUUUGUUUUAAUAUCAUCAAAGUAAGGUCAGGCAAGGUUUAUAUCUUUUUUUUUUUUUUUUUUUUUUUUUUUUUUUUAUAACAAUUGCUGUAGCUGGAAAAAAACUAGCUGUUCAGGUGUGUAAGCCCUUCUUAGGCUUAUACAUAUAGGACCAAGGAAUGAAAAGCAAACCUAUAAACCUUCAGAUCAGUGAAUAUAAUUAAAAAAAAACAACCACCACCACAACCCCACCCCUCACCCCAACCCCUCAAACCCAGAAGCAGUAAUUCAAGGCUUGUCAGCAGCCCAGGUACAUUUGAAGCUUUGCCACGGUAAUGAAAUAGAUCCCCGACGGUGGGUGCCUGGAGUAAGGCUGGGAGAGGUCAAAGGGGGCUGCAGGGGGCUAGGAGGGUCCACGAGACCCCCGUGAAGGGCCCUGUAGCAGCCUGUCAUGUGGAAUGCUUGGUGGCAUUUUGCUGAGGGGGUUGGAGAUAACACAGCAAUGGCAAGUUGCCUUGAGGGUUGCUCCCUGCCUCCCAGCCCACUUCUGGGGCCGCUUCCGUGGGCUCCACGGUCCCUCGGGGAGCAGGGUGCCCACCCAGGGCUGGCUGCUCGGCAGGGUGCCAGGCAGGGUGUCAGCUCAGGAGCAAUGCUGCUGGUUCACAAGGGUCAGCUGCUGGGAGAGCUCAGCGAAGAACAGCCCGACCUCUUCUUACCUCCAUCUCCAGACCAGUUGUUAGUGGGGGAGCCAGCAUGUUUUCCACCGAUGCGCAAUGCAGUUCUCUGCUUAAGUUUUCACUGCGGUAGAAAUCCAAGCAGACUUGCUAGAUUUUUGUUCUAGAUAUAUAAUUUACUGGCUGUUUUGAAGCAAAUGUCACUUUCUUUUUAUAUUUAUGAACAGCUGGGGAUCAUGAGGCAGCUGUUUAAGGAACUGUAUUUACUUUUAGAUGUAAACAAAAUAUUAAAGUGCCCUCCAGAAAUCUCUGUGCUCACACAAACAUCUCAUAUUCUAUAUUAUUUAUAUGCGUGAGUGUGUGGGUCGCUGCAGCUCGUUUCUGUCUGAUACAUUAGCUCUCCCUGUGUGACAGGCUCUCUCUAGAUAAAGCAAUCUGCAGGGAGUAGGCACACAAUUGCUGGAGGGCCACUCCAAAGAUGCUGUGAUGGAAAAAAAAUUUCCUUUUUCUUUCAUCUUAGAUGAGGAAGAUGAAAAAAAUGUCCUUAAACAUGAAUUUUCCUUGCUGGUAAAAACUUGGUAGAUUUUCCUCAUGAAAAAAUUAAGGAACAUUAAAAUACAUAUUUUGCACAACUUAGAAGAUUGUGAUGGAAAGAUGCAACACUGCUAAACCAGAUGCUAUCCUCCUUACUCAUGCUGAGCAUCGGCAGACAUGGAAAGACAUGCUUUCUUUAAACCUAUUACAUAUACUUGCUUGCAGUCUUAAAAUUCUCCCCGAGUCACACAGACUUCCCUGCCUACCGGGGAGAUUGCCAUUGACCUGUGUGCUGUUCCCAUUUAUUUUAAAAAUACAGAGAAGAAGAGACUCUCUCCUGGAAGGUUAAUUAGAGUGUUCAAGGUUUCUAGAUUGUGACUCUCAUUUUCACCAAAUUAUUUCAUGUGCAAUUGCCUGAUGACAGUCUUUCUAAGGGCUUUCCUUGGGCUUGUCAAAGGACUGGAUGGGAGACAUACAGAGCAUGUCUUCUGAAUACAGAACGACAAUUUGUCAAUUCUGGUGAAAAUUCUUGCAAACAGGUCUACAGAUGUGUUAGAGGCAGGUGAAGCAAGUGACUGGGUGUGAUGACCUGAUAACUGGUUCCAGAGGGUUUGCUCAUGAAGGGGUGGGGAGCUGCCUAUGAGCUGUAUCUGGGCGCCCUGCGCCUGUCCUGACUCACACCACAAGAAUUCUGGCCUUUCAUCUUGGCAAGAAUGAGUACGACAUUUUACUAGGAGCCAGCUUUCUUAGAAUGUGGGUUUUUUUAAAUCCUUUCAGCUUCCACUGAGGUCAGAAGAAGGCUGUGGGUGGACACUCCUCUGUGACGUUCCAGUGCUUCUGAUCCGGGCCAUUCUGGACCGUGAAGAGGGAUGAGGGUAGCAGGGACUUAAUUUAAUGAGAAGACUAAGCUACUUCUCCUUCAUUGGGGCUGGCUUCUCGGCAGGUGGGCUGGAGGCAGGAGUCACUCAGAGGAGCAAAUGGCAGAUAUGGGAAGGCAGGUGGGAAUUACAGCACGGCAUGGGGAUCAGCAAGGCCCAGGAUGGGGCUUAUGAGAGGCAGAGGGCUUGAGCCUCUUCUGUUUGGAGGCCUUCAUCAUGCUACUAACAGGAGCCUCACCUUCCUCCCACGCCUGCCUUUACAUUAUGGCUGUGUCCACCUCAGUUGGUUUGUGUCUCCGUCUGAGCUCUUCUGAAGUGAUUGACAUGCAUCUAGCAACGAUAUGUGCUCUCCAGCUGCACUAACCUUAUACCCCUGGUGUUCUGAGACAGCCUACGCUUAUAUUGACUGAAACACAUUAUAAAUUUGGGUUAUAUCCAUAUUAUCAGAGGAAAAUUUUUAUGAUUACAUGACAAGAUGCCAAAAAAAACCCCCAAACAAUCUAAGACCUAUGAAAAUCAGCAGUAUGUGCUGAGAAAAAUCAAUAAGUAAUUUGCCCAGAGAAUCCCAAAGAGCAUGCAUGUUUUUUGAGACUUAGAAUAACUUUUGCUUAUUGAUUCUUAAAAUCUUUUGAACAGGUAGAUAUGUAAAUACAGGGAUACUGCUCCUCUGGAGUUCAGUGGGAGGAGGAUCAGGCCCUGAGCUGGCAGCUUUGGGAUUUAGAAAGAUAUGCUCUGCUGCUUAAUGAAACUGUUUAAUUAGAAAACUUUGUCACAGCCUAUAUGUGGCUUGAAGGCAGUUUUAUCAAACAGGCUGAAUAAUUCUUUCCAACCAUUAAAGCUGAUUGGUAUUCUUAGCUUUGAAAGGAGAGAAACACGGAGAGCACUGAUAAUGAGAGCUGGGCAGCAUUCAGGGAGUCUUUGUCUUUUGAGCAGGUACUUGUGGCUUCUUCAGGCAAUUUGCCACCUGACAAACCAAAAUUAAACUGAAAUAUUCAUAACUACAUAUUUUGACUGACUUUUAGUCAAGACUGUGCAAAGCCAGUGUUAAAUCAGAACUAAUUUAACUCAAUAUGACCAUACAUGUAACCAUGCCUACUUUUAACCAGUUUAACUCUAUGUUCAUGUCGGUUUUUUUUAAUUUUCAUUUUAAAAGCUUCUGGUUCUGUCAGACAGUGGAGUACCUACUGCUAAUACAGUCUAUAUUUCUGAGUGUCUUGCCUGAGGAAAACAAAGGAAGCAUAAAUGAAGAACCCAAUUUUUAAGCACAAUUUUAGUGCAAUUUUAAAUGUACAAAAUUGUUUCCUUUUCACCGUAAAUUGCUUGUAAGUAUAAAACUCACAUUCUGCAUAUUCUCCCUUAUUCACACUGCUGGAUAUUAAAGGACAGGAGGGGCUCUCCACAAAUGAGAGUGACAAUGCUAUUAUUACUAGAAUGCCAAAGGAACAAUUUUGUGUUAUUUCUUGAUUGAUUUUUUUUAAAUCUGCAAAUGUAUCCAAAAUAUUGAAAAUUUAUGUGAGAAGAAAGUAAAAAAUUAUGUCAAACAUAUGCUUCUCUGUUCUUAAAAAUGUCAGUGGUUUUGGAUUCCAGUUAUUCAGCUGCUCUUCCUGACUUAGUAUGUUGCCUGAUCUAAUUUUACUACCGGGUACCUCAUAUGAUUGUUCUCCAAAACUCAGGCUCAUUUCCAUCAUGUCACGAGACUCAUAGAGCGUACCUCAGUGUAUAACAAAGAAAGGUGCUGUUCAAGGAACAUCUAGGUCAAAGUCAAAGUGGUAAAGCAGGGGUUUCUGCAUUUGGAUCUACUCAUCGACUUCAGCUGGGAAAUAUUUUGGUUUUGAGUUAAUAUCCAAAUCUACCCCUUCCAUUAAACAUUGAGAUAAAAACUUCUUAGAUAAGCAUUGCACAUGGAUAAGCAUUGAACAGAUUCCUACUGUGGUCAUAAAGGAAGAUUAUUCAGAAGAUUAGGAAGAAUUGUUUCUAAAAGGAUCAAUUUAACCUUAAUGCCAUUCUUGAGGAUUUUAUCAAAUUAGAUCAAUAGAAUCAGGUUUUAAAAAGACAUGUAAGAACCAAGUAUAAAAAAAUGUGGGCAAUAGUUUUAGAAAUGCUCUGUGGCCAUCAGCACAGACUUUGAUCCUGUGGACAUAUUUUGUGAAGCUUACCAGUAUGAUGGUAUUUUUUUUUUUUUGACCUAUCUAAUAAAAAUUUCCUUUGUUACUGCUUACGUCUAUUGCCUCUUAUGCUCUUGCUGCACACAUCUGAGGAGUGCCUGCCUUGGUCUUCUCUAUCAGAUAGCUGAGGUCUUCCCCUCUCGACCUGCUGGCAAUGCUCCUCCUAAUGCAGCCCAAGACACCAUUGGCCUUCUUUGCUGCAAGGGCAUGCUGCUGGUUCAUGUUCAAUUCUGUGUCCACCAGGACCCCCAGGUCCUUCUCUGCCAAGCUGCUUUCCAGCUGGUCAGCCCUCAGCCUGUACCGAGAUUAUUUCACCCCUGGGGCAGGAGUUCGCACUUUCCUUUAUUGCCUUUAUUAAAUUUCAGAAGGUUCGUACCGGCCCAUUUUUCCACCCUGUUGAGGUCUCUGAAUGGUGGCCAGACCUGUCAGCAUAUCUGCAUCUCUCACUGGUUAUGAAUCAUGGGCAAAUGAUGUAAGUGCACUCUACCUCUCAACCAGGUCUUUUAAUAAGCUCAUUGAGCAAUAUUGGCACCAGUAUUGAUCCCUGAGAGACAGAGAUUGAAUUUAUGAGUUGCCCUUCUUAAAGAAAAUCUGUGGAGUUUUUCAGUGACUGCUGCUCCCGACCAGGGGGGCUUUCUUUGGGGACAGCCACAGCCCUUUCAAGACAUCAGUAGCCUCUCUGAUGUAAAUGAUGAGUGAAUUAUGCUGCAACUUUUUAGCAAUGACAAACGAUUUCAGGUUUUUUCACAGCCUAUUAAAGAACACUAACAGCACUCACAGCUUUGGUAUAUUUAAUGCAUUUUUGGUAGUUUUUCUCAGCAUGUCUGCAUCAAGAUUUGAGAAGAGGCUUGCCCUAGCAAUGCUAAGAGACCCAAACUAGAAGACAGCUCAACAGUUUCAGGGUUCCAACUCACACUACCAGGUUAGGGGGACUGGAUACUGUGUCACAAAGUUUUAUUUGCCCCCUGCCCCUCUGUCAUACUAAAAAACUUCUGUAAGUCCUGUCCCUAGGUUACUUAUGGGAUUAUUAGGGGAGAGCGUUUUUUCCUUUAACACCUCACAGUAGUAUAUGGUUUAAGACAGAAUAUAGCAUUUUCUGAAAUCAGCUCAGAGGGCUUCCCCCUACACACAUGUGACUUUUGGAGAUAAAGUUUUGCACUUCGAUAGGGUUCCUCUCUUUUACAAGGCAGCUGAUUUGAGUAGAGGUUUGAAUGAGCUCCUAUUAAUUUAAGGAAAUAGGGUUUUUUUUCAUUUUUUUCAGAGAUACCCUUUUAUAAUGGAAAUCUCAUACUCUUGGGUUUUAGGAAAUAAGCCACAAAGGAACACUUCAGCAUCUGUUUUUCACUGAAACACUUUAAACAGGUAAGAAUAGUUAUUUUGCAUUGGAAAACAGACCCAUUUACAGCAACUACUAUUAAUACUACUAAAAAAUUAUUUAACUGAAAAAUAAGAUGUGAAACACUUUUAGCUAAAACCUUUCAGAUGAGGCACAGUAGGCACUAAACCCCACUUUCUGAUGGAAUAAGUUUGCGUAGAAUAAUUAAAACCUGCGUGGGAAAAUAGUUUUGUUCAAGGUAGGAAGCUUCUCCUGGACCCAGUGUAAAUGCGUUCCAGACAAAGAGUGUGCUGGUUUUGAGGACUUUGACUGAGGAACACAGUACUGUUGGCUGAGGCAUCCCUCCUGCUUUUGGCAGUGCUGUUUCUUCAGCAGAAGAAAAGGUGAUUUAAGAGGACAGAUAAAGCUUCAGUCUGUAGACAUCUCCAGAUACUUGUCUUGGUGCCCUUUGCAAGGUGGUGCUGGCUUCUGGAAGAGGUACCUUCACUCACUUCACAAGCCCCGGGGCUUGCCCGGCACGGUGCAUUUCUGAUAUUGCUGCACCACCUUCUGGAGCUGAUCCCAGAGGCCAAGUCAAGCCAGUGGGCUCAGCGAUCUGGUACGGCUGGGCACGUGUGAACGCUUUGAAACAGAAUGUGGAUCUACUGCCAAGCGAGAGCCCUAUGGUGAGCUGUGCCAUUCUGCCUUUUGCGUGCUUUGCUUAUUUCUCCCUGAUUUCCUCUAUUACCCUUGAUGCAUCAUGACAUACAAAUCUGGUGAGGGAGCAGGUGGGUUUUUACAGCCAGUACCAUUUUCUCUGUGUGCUGGAAAUUGCUGGAUAGGAGUCUAUAUACCUGCUUUUACACCCUUCAGAGACCAGAGUUACUCGUGUCACUGCAUGGAAGCCCUAAUUCAGCAAGGCAUUGAAGAACGUUCUGACUUCAAAGCAUAUGAAUGUAUUAUUUGAAAUCACAUCGUUAUAGUUAAAAUAUGCUUUGCAGAUGCUGAUGAGCAGCUUACUUCUGACAGGUUUUGCAGUUCCAGGGUACUGUGUUGCCUCAUGCUUGCACAGUGUCCAGACAUCUCAGGCCAGUGCAGAGGGGCCGGUCAAACUACAGGCAUUUCUCAGUGCUGGUUUUAGCUACUCUGUAUCAGUCCUCUCAGGACUCCAUGUGACUUUACUUUUCAUAAAUCACUAGUUAUGAGUGCUAAAACUGCCCAGACUCAACAGUGAAAGCAGCCUGCAAAGGUAACAGCAACAAGGCAGAGUAGCUGGCUGACUGUUUUUCAGACUGCAAACCUCUACCAAAAAAUCUCUGCAGUCUGUCUCCUCCUCUCAGUGAAAAGAUUUUGUCAUUUUUCUGGGGCUUUGUUAGAAUCCAUCUACAAUUGUUGUAAUUUCCCUAACCAGUUAUGGACAAUGGGCUAAAAUACCUUACAAGGAUGAGGCAAAUGGAAAUUUCUCUUGCUGUCCAGCUCAGGGUGCUGUAAAUGAAAAUAUCCAUAGUAUUUACAUCUCUUACGUUAAAAUUGCUGUCAUAAGUCUCCCAGUGCCUUAGUAACAUCACCAAAUAAUAAUUAUUUUUUUUUUCCACAGGACUGGACAUUUUCAUCCCGUUGUGUUAUUUCUUUGUAUUAUUUAUAUUUUAGUUUGUGCUAUUAGACCAGUCUGGCAUUUUCCUAAGUAAGAAACCGUCUGCUGAUUUGCGCAACACCUGUCACUAUUUUAAAGCAGGCCGACAGCUUUAAUAAAACCUUUUUGCAGGGAAAGAAAGAACCAUAUUUCACGGGGUCUGGUGGGAAAGCAGGCAUCUCCACUCCCCAUCGCAUCCCGCCUGCCACUGCUGAGCAUGUGGCAGUGCUGAAUCAAUAAUUGCCGCUCUCACCACCUCCGAACUGUCUCUCAGCAGCUGGGAAUUUAAACAAGUAACUCCCCAAACAGUACAUCCUCUUCUCCAGUCUUUGCAUGCUUGUUAGCUUUCUUCUUCCCCUUAUGUUUUAUUUGGAAUGCAGUUCAUUACCAUAAAUGCUUUGCCACAUUAAAUUUUUUUUGGCAGCUGCAUAAUAGAUGGAUGGCUUCUCUCACUACAGGGCAUGAGGACCUUAAAUUAUGAAUACAUUUACUUUCAGGUGUGGGGAUUUGGGUUUUGGUUUUUUUUGUGAUGAGGGGGCUCUUUUAUAUGGGAAAAUGAUGCUCCCAGGUCUGAGUUCUUCAGGGAGCACAGUGGGAACUUAAUGAAGUUGGUUGUGAUUAAGGAGAACAUGGACACCUGCAACGGAAAUAUGUGAUGUGCUUCAGCACCACGGAAACGAUCAGCUGGAGGAAGGAGACUGUGCCUUUUCCUGACCUGUCCAUGUAAGGAGGCAACAGAAGAGACUCAGGAGCAAAUGCAAAGCCAGGCUUGAGAAAAGAAGGAACAAAUGACUUUUCCUGGGAGCUCAGAGGGAUGGUGCAGGGUAGGUGUGACCCAGCUUUGUAGGAACCUGAGUCACAGUGCUGAUGGCAACCCUGAUGGGAAGGUCUCACCCUGUAGUAUCACAGGGGAGAAACGGGAGAGGGGCAGUUUUCUACCAAACCUUUUAGUUGCUUUCUAUCCCAUUCAAAUUGUUUUUAUUUUAAGGCAGAUUAACUGUGUUAAUUUUUAGUCUAAUAUGACUUUUAAGGUUGAAAGACCUCUUUCUGGUUCUGAGUAGAAUUACAGAAGGGCGACAGCAGUUCAGAGCUUAGACAGGACUCAGCAUCUUGUCAUGCCUGUGAACCGAAAGUAGCAGCAUGAAGACAUUUUUGGUUAUGUCCAUUUUCCAUUUACUCUUUUUGCAGGCUAGAAGGUGCAGUGAUGUCUAAAAACUAAACACAAGGCAAAGGAUAGAUUCAAUUAUUUGGUGAAGAUGGGGAGAUGUCCCUCAGUUAUCCUGUGGCACAUCACACACCCCCUCUUAGGGAGCCCAAGAAGAGGACUGACAGCUUCAGCCAGAAAAAAAGGAUACUUCUACCAUUACCUUGAGAUCCCAGCCACAAGGUGAGACGACUAAACUGGGAACCUGGCCCAAACCGUGCAGCUAGAGGAAGUAUCACAUCUACAACACCAAGUUUUCCCUAAAAGUCCAAUUGUUUACCAGAGUUUGCUGUGGUCUUCCUGUGUAUCGGUGGGGAUGAGGAACCCAGACAGAUCAGCAUGAAAAAGCAGACCCGCAGCCUCCUAUUUAUAGUGAUUUUCAGGAGACAGAUGCUGCUGGCGGGUUUCUGUGUUUUCCUGGCACUGACUGCACUCCAUUGCUGCUCCAGUGAGGAGGCAUCCAGUGAGAAGAGAAAGACCAACAUCCUUGCAUUGAUCUCUCUUCUAUCAGAUGGAUGAAGAUGGGCUUUAAAUAUGUUUUUAAUUACAAUUUUUUAAUGUUCUUUAAUUGAAAGCAUAGAUUUGCUACAGCCUACUUCAUAAAAAAUGCAAUCUAAUUUGGAGUAAUGCUCUUUGUUCAACAGGCACUACUACAUAGAAGAAUACCGCUGUUGAAGGUUGGGGUUCAGAGACUUUGUCAAAGAAGCAUGUUGAAAAUCAGCAACUACCAUUACUAUACUCAGGCCUCAUCAGUGCAACUUGGACCUAGCCUGAAGCCUGAUGAAGAUGUUGGUAUGCUUUGAGUCAAGCCUUUAGUAAACCGGCACUUACGCAUUCUCCAUCCCUUAUGUGCCUCCUGCCAUCCCAGUGUGACAGUACCCAGUCUGUGCCAUAUACUGGGGACUUAGCUGUUACUAGGCUCUCUACACCCUCCUUGACUGUGUUUGCAGCAGCACAAUAGAGCAAAGCAGAAGAGGGACUCGAUGAUACGUGGUUUCAAAAAAACAUCUAUUUUUCACUCUUUGCUACAACGAUACCCUCUUUUGGGUUCACAGAGAGGGUUUUUGGAGGUGGGG
Molecule: long non-coding RNA, 10060 nt
Organism: Falco peregrinus (peregrine falcon)
Lineage: Eukaryota; Metazoa; Chordata; Aves; Falconiformes; Falconidae
Exons: 5
Source: RefSeq, a predicted model, not a curated record